Molecule: ribosomal RNA, 495 nt
Filed under: uncultured bacterium
Lineage: Bacteria
Description: partial 16S ribosomal RNA
Rfam family: Bacterial small subunit ribosomal RNA
Source: RNAcentral
GACGAACGCUGGCGGCGCGCCUAAUACAUGCAAGUAGAACGCUGAAGGAGGAGCUUGCUUCUCUGGAUGAGUUGCGAACGGGUGAGUAACGCGUAGGUAACCUGCCUGGUAGCGGGGGAUAACUAUUGGAAACGAUAGCUAAUACCGCAUAAGAGUAGAUGUUGCAUGACAUUUGCUUAAAAGGUGCAAUUGCAUCACUACCAGAUGGACCUGCGUUGUAUUAGCUAGUUGGUGGGGUAACGGCUUACCAAGGCGACGAUACAUAGCCGACCUGAGAGGGUGAUCGGCCACACUGGGACUGAGACACGGCCCAGACUCCUACGGGAGGCAGCAGUAGGGAAUCUUCGGCAAUGGACGGAAGUCUGACCGAGCAACGCCGCGUGAGUGAAGAAGGUUUUCGGAUCGUAAAGCUCUGUUGUAAGAGAAGAACGAGUGUGAGAGUGGAAAGUUCACACUGUGACGGUAUCUUACCAGAAAGGGACGGCUAACUACGUG